Molecule: ribosomal RNA, 342 nt
Filed under: uncultured bacterium
Lineage: Bacteria
Description: SSU rRNA
Rfam family: Bacterial small subunit ribosomal RNA
Source: RNAcentral
GGGGAAUUUUCCGCAAUGGGCGAAAGCCUGACGGAGCGACGCCGCGUGUGGGAAGAAGUCCUUCGGGAUGUAAACCACUGUCAGGGGUUACCAAGCAAACGGGUCGAAUAGACUCGCGCGUUGAGGAGCCCCAGAGGAAGCCACGGCUAACUUCGUGCCAGCAGCCGCGGUAAGACGAAGGUGGCGAGCGUUGUUCGGAAUUAUUGGGCUUAAAGGGCACGUAGGCGGCCCAUCAAGUGUCUUGUGAAAUCCCUCGGCUCAACCGAGGAAUGGCUGGGCAAACUGAUGGGCUUGAGGCAGGUAUGGGCGCGCGGAACUCUUGGUGGAGCGGUGAUAUGCGUA